CUUUAAGAUGUGUAGAUAUUGCAUGAAAAAGUGAUAAAGCAUUCUUAUUUUGCUAGGUAAUUAAAUCACAUCAUAGGAAGUUUAUCCCCAAAAUGAUAAUUGCCGUGAGAAGAAACAACACUAUUUCUUGGUGGACAGGUAAAGGUACUGGUUUGAUGGCAAACAGCAGGUUUAGCACUUAUCACUACAACACAAUUGCUUGUGGAUAGCAUUCACUCACCUCCAUCUGCAAUGGCCUCCAAAUAUUUUUGCAUUUUUCCCAUCUUGAUUGCAUUUGGGCCAGAAAUGCCUCUGCCCACUGUUCCUUGCUUCCUCCCAUGCUCAGUUCAUAAGGCACUGAGAAACUCAUCAGUUCUUCUGGCUGCGAUCCUUUAUUGGGUGAAAUGCUCCUGCUGACUAAAAUUCUGAAGAUGCGAAGAUACUUGGUGGAAAGAUUAUAAAUGGCAUCUGCAAUGUGUUCCUUGCUGAACAAGUACACAACCGGAUAACCAAGAAGCCAGCCAUUUAAAGUUGGCACAGUGACCUGAGUGUCCUGCAUGCGACUACUGAGAUCAAUAAACUCAGGGGACUGAGAAAUUAUGGGUUUGUUGGUAGAUGAUUCGGCAUUAGCUGCAGUAUCCUUCAUGUGACAAGACAAGAGAUCAUUGUCCAUUUCAUUGAGAGGAAAAAACAAAGAGAAUGACUUCUGCACUCUUAUAAGUUCUGUUAGUAAUGAGCUUUCUUGUGCUUGCGCCACCAUCUUUGGAGGAUCUUGUUCUAGGU
Molecule: unclassified non-coding RNA, 762 nt
Filed under: Hevea brasiliensis (rubber tree)
Lineage: Eukaryota; Viridiplantae; Streptophyta; Magnoliopsida; Malpighiales; Euphorbiaceae
Source: RNAcentral